RNAcentral lists this ribosomal RNA (301 nucleotides) under uncultured bacterium. RNAcentral describes it as "partial 16S ribosomal RNA". It matches the Rfam family "Bacterial small subunit ribosomal RNA", at positions 509 to 807 of the family's 1533-position model. The record is from RNAcentral.
CAGUCGCCGCGGUAAUACCGAGGUCUCAAGCGUUGUUCGGAUUCAUUGGGCGUAAAGGGUGCGUAGGUGGCGGUGUAAGUCUAACGUGAAAUCUCGGGGCUCAACCUCGAAAUUGCGUCGGAUACUGCAUUGCUAGAGGAUUGUAGAGGAGAGUGGAAUUCAUGGUGUAGCAGUGAAAUGCGUAGAUAUCAUGAGGAAGACCAGUUGCGAAGGCGACUCUCUGGGCAAUUCCUGACACUGUGGCACGAAGGCUAGGGGAGCAAACGGGAUUAGAGACCCCCGUAGUCCCUGUCUCUUAUAC